UCGGGGGCGGCUACACAUGCAGUCGAGCGGUAACAGGAAGAAGCUUGCUUCUUUGCUGACGAGCGGCGGACGGGUGAGUAAUACUUGGGAACUUGCCUUUAGGAGGGGGAUAACCGCUGGAAACGGUGGCUAAUACCGCAUAAUGUCUACGGACCAAAGCAGGGGCUCUUCGGACCUUGCACCUAAAGAUAGGCCCAAGCGAGAUUAGCUAGUUGGUGGGGUAAAGGCCCACCAAGGCGACGAUCUCUAGCUGUUCUGAGAGGAUGAUCAGCCACACUGGGACUGAGACACGGCCCAGACUCCUACGGGAGGCAGCAGUGGGGAAUAUUGCACAAUGGGGGAAACCCUGAUGCAGCCAUGCCGCGUGUGUGAAGAAGGCCUUCGGGUUGUAAAGCACUUUCAGUGGUGAGGAAGGCCGUAAGAUUAAUACUCUUGCGGAUUGACGUUAACCACAGAAGAAGCACCGGCUAACUCCGUGCCAGCAGCCGCGGUAAU
This 495-nucleotide ribosomal RNA is filed under the name Pseudidiomarina sediminum. RNAcentral describes it as "bacterial SSU rRNA". It matches the Rfam family "Bacterial small subunit ribosomal RNA", at positions 38 to 524 of the family's 1533-position model. Lineage: Bacteria; Pseudomonadati; Pseudomonadota; Gammaproteobacteria; Alteromonadales; Idiomarinaceae. The record is from RNAcentral.